GGGAGGCAGCAGUGGGGAAUAUUGGACAAUGGGCGCAAGCCUGAUCCAGCAAUGCCGCGUGUGUGAAGAAGGCCAUUCGGGUUGUAAAGCACUUUUAUCAGGAGCGAAAUGCCAUUGGUUAAUACCCGGUGGAGCUGACGGUACCUGAGGAAUAAGCACCGGCUAACUUUGUGCCAGCAGCCGCGGUAAUACGAAGGGAUGCAAGCGUUAAUCGGAAUUACUGGGCGUAAAGCGUGCGUAGGCGGUUCGUUAAGUCUGUCGUGAAAUCCCCGGGCUCAACCUGGGAAUGGCGAUGGAUACUGGCGAGCUAGAGUGUGAUAGAGGAUGGUGGAAUUCCCGGUGUAGCGGUGAAAUGCGUAGAGAUCGGGAGGAACAUCAGUGGCGAAGGCGGCCAUCUGGAUCAACACUGACGCUGAGGCACGAAAGCGUGGGGAGCAAACAGGAUUAGAUACCCUGGUAGUCCACGCCCUAAACGAUGCGAACUGGAUGUUGGUCUCAACUCGGAGAUCAGUGUCGAAGCUAACGCGUUAAGUUCGCUGCCUGGGGCAGUACGUGUCAAAGA
Molecule: ribosomal RNA, 562 nt
Filed under: Fulvimonas soli
Lineage: Bacteria; Pseudomonadati; Pseudomonadota; Gammaproteobacteria; Lysobacterales; Rhodanobacteraceae
Description: bacterial SSU rRNA
Rfam family: Bacterial small subunit ribosomal RNA
Source: RNAcentral